AUUGAACGCUGGCGGAAUGCUUUGCACAUGCAAGUCGAACGGCAGCACGGACUUCGGUCUGGUGGCGAGUGGCGAACGGGUGAGUAAUGUAUCGGAACGUGCCCAGUCGUGGGGGAUAACGUAGUGAAAAUUACGCUAAUACCGCAUACGAUCUAUGGAUGAAAGCGGGGGAUCGCAAGACCUCGCGCGAUUGGAGCGGCCGAUAUCAGAUUAGGUAGUUGGUGGGGUAAAGGCCCACCAAGCCAACGAUCUGUAGCUGGUCUGAGAGGACGACCAGCCACACUGGAACCGAGACAAGGUCCAGACUCCUACGGGAGGCAGCAGUGGGGAAUUUUGGACAAUGGGCGAAAGCCUGAUCCAGCCAUUCCGCGUGCAGGAUGAAGGCCCUCGGGUUGUAAACUGCUUUUGUACAGAACGAAAAGGUUUCUACUAAUACUAGGAGCUCAUGACGGUACUGUAAGAAUAAGCACCGGCUAAUUACGUGCCAGCCGCCGCGGUAA
RNAcentral lists this ribosomal RNA (500 nucleotides) under uncultured bacterium. RNAcentral's name for it is "partial 16S ribosomal RNA". It matches the Rfam family "Bacterial small subunit ribosomal RNA", at positions 30 to 523 of the family's 1533-position model. The record is from RNAcentral.